This is an RNA transcript of Populus trichocarpa (black cottonwood), 2127 nucleotides long. RefSeq lists it as uncharacterized. Lineage: Eukaryota; Viridiplantae; Streptophyta; Magnoliopsida; Malpighiales; Salicaceae. The record is from RefSeq and is a predicted model, not a curated record. The transcript is spliced from 3 exons.
CUUCGUGUACCCUCAGAGUCCAAGCCCUAACAAAAGUCAAAAACCCUUUCCAGCCUCUGUGUCAAAUCUGAAACACAAGCAUUUUGCUGUCUGAAAUGGCCGCCAAUAAACCUAGCAGAAGCUUGCUUUCUCUGCUUCAAAAACGUUUUCUAUUAACAUUUUCUUCUGCACUUUCUCCUCCUACAGCUCAAUUACCCACCUGUAGCUCUUCUUCAUCGUCGUCGUCCUUUACAGUUCAUUUCCUUGUGAAUUCAUGCGGGCUCACUUCAAAAUCUGCUCUUUCAGUUUCCAAGAAGUUCCAAAUCCGUGAAAACAACCUCCAAAACCCUCAAUCCGUACUCCAGUUCUUGAAAGCUCAUGACUUUAGCGAAACCCAUAUUUCCAAAUUGAUUGAAAAGCGACCCAAGAUUCUCCUGCGCAGAAUUGAAGACAAUCUGAAAGCCAAGUUUGACUUCUUUAUUGAGAAUGGUUUUGCGGGUCAGCUUCUGCCCCAACUUAUUUUAUCAAAUCCGGUGAUUUUGGAAAGGGCCUUAGAUUCCCAUAUUAAACCAUCUCUUCUGUACUUCAAGUCUAUUCUCGGUACCAGCGAGAAAGUUAUUGCAGCUUCCAAACGUUCUGUGUUUUUGUUGACUUGUGAUUGGAACAGUAUCGUGCUACCAAAUGUUGAUUUCUUGAUUAAAGAGGGAGUGCCUGUUGAUAGGGUUGCAAAGUUGUUUCUGUUUCACCCACAGGUUGUGCAACGGAAGCAUGAUAGGAUGGUUUAUGCAGUGAAUACUGUCAAGGAUUUGGGACUUGAACCAGAGGUUUCUAUUUUUAUAUAUGCUCUAACUACCAUGAUGCAAUCGAGCGAGUCCACUUUGAAGAAGAAAGUUGAAGUGUUGAAGAGUUUGGGGUGGACGGAGGAGGAGAUUUUCCGGGCUUUUAAGCAAGACCCUGCUAUUUUGCGAUUUUCAGAGGAAAAGAUCAGGGGUGUGAUGGAUUUCUUGGUGAAUACUGUGGGAUUGAGGCCACAAACUAUUAUUGCAAACCCUUUGUUUCUUCAUUACUCAAUUAACAAAAGGCUUCGACCAAGGUAUAAUGUUUUGAAGGCUUUGGAGUCGAAGAAGCUCUUUGAUGAGGGCAUGAGCAUUGGGUCGGCGCUAAAAAUGAGCGAGAAGAAAUUCAUGAAGAAUUAUGUUUCCAAGUAUGUACACAGUGUCCCCGGUAUAUUGGACACAUAUAAGGGUAUCAUCAAGCCUAUAAAGAUGGAUACUUGAUGGAAAAAGAUGCAUGCUUACCUUGCACUGCAAAUUAAGUACUCAACCUCCUCUUGGACCCAAAAUCUUUACAGACAGUUCUCUUGCCCUAACAUAUGUUCUCGUUACUUGUAAAAAUUGGUGAUGCAAGGAUCAAGGAAGUAAUUCUUAUGGAGGGUCUGUCUCGACUUCCUUGUAUCCAGACUAUGAUUUUAAGAAAAAAAAUGCUCUCCAGCGUUGUUAGCAAAGCUCUUCACUACUUUGCAGCUUGAAGGAACGUGUUGACUUUGCAAUCAACUUGGAAACUUUUAAUUUGGAUUUUGUUUCUCUCAGGCUCUGUUUCUUUUGGGCUAGAAUGCAUCGAGAAGCUACAGAGAGACAAAUUACUGCAUUUUCUGGCAUAAUUUUCAUCUAACUAUCAUCUUCAACAUAGCAUUCAUUGACCUCCAGCUUGGCUCUUAAUCUUUAUAAGCAAUAGUUAACAGUUUGGGAAAAUAUGAUAGCACGAGGCUUGUCAAAGUUAACAAGUGCAGCUCUUGCUGACUGUUUUAGCAGCAGGUAAUUUUGCUGGAGAUGCUGAUUUCGAGUGUGUUUAUCAUCAAAGGGCCAUUCAGCUUCCUCUCUCUCUCCAGGUAAUCAUCUAGCCACCCUAGAGGCUAGGUACAUGCUCCUUCUGCAAGGCCUAUCCUCUUAACUUUUCUUGACAUUUUUUGUUUACCUUUGGUAAUUCUGCCACGCAGAACAGGAGGUUAUUCUUUGAAAGAACCGGUGAAGCUUCUUUGUGUCCAAUUUGACACCCAAUUUCUCUCUUAAGAAAAUUCAAACUCAUCCUGUUGUCUCUGUAUCUAUUAAAAAUAUAAAAUCUUUGCUCCAAAAAUGGCCACAUUAUCCA